GUGCCAGCAGCCGCGGUAAGACAGAGGCCUCAAGCGUUAGGCGGAAUCACUGGGCUUAAAGCGUGUGUAGGCGGAUCGUUAAGUGCCUUGUGAAAUCCCACGGCUUAACUGUGGAACGGCUGGGCAUACUGGCGGUCUUGAGCCAUCUAGGGGCGACUGGAACAAACGGUGGAGCGGUGAAAUGCGUAGAUAUCGUUUGGAACGCCAAUGGUGAAAACAGGUCGCUGGGGAUGAGCUGACGCUGAGACACGAAAGCCAGGGGAGCAAACGGGAUUAGAUACCCCGGUAGUCC
This 292-nucleotide ribosomal RNA is filed under the name uncultured bacterium. RNAcentral describes it as "partial 16S ribosomal RNA". It matches the Rfam family "Bacterial small subunit ribosomal RNA", at positions 505 to 796 of the family's 1533-position model. The record is from RNAcentral.